GCAAUGGCAUAAGCCAGCUUGACUGCGAGCGUGACGGCGCGAGCAGGUGCGAAAGCAGGUCAUAGUGAUCCGGUGGUUCUGAAUGGAAGGGCCAUCGCUCAACGGAUAAAAGGUACUCCGGGGAUAACAGGCUGAUACCGCCCAAGAGUUCAUAUCGACGGCGGUGUUUGGCACCUCGAUGUCGGCUCAUCACAUCCUGGGGCUGAAGUAGGUCCCAAGGGUAUGGCUGUUCGCCAUUUAAAGUGGUACGCGAGCUGGGUUUAGAACGUCGUGAGACAGUUCGGUCCCUAUCUGCCGUGGGCGCUGGAGAACUGAGGGGGGCUGCUCCUAGUACGAGAGGACCGGAGUGGACGCAUCACUGGUGUUCGGGUUGUCAUGCCAAUGGCACUGCCCGGUAGCUAAAUGCGGAAGAGAUAAGUGCUGAAAGCAUCUAAGCACGAAACUUGCCCCGAGAUGAGUUCUCCCUGAC
This 469-nucleotide ribosomal RNA is filed under the name Escherichia coli. RNAcentral's name for it is "bacterial LSU rRNA". It matches the Rfam family "Bacterial large subunit ribosomal RNA", at positions 2351 to 2819 of the family's 2925-position model. Lineage: Bacteria; Pseudomonadati; Pseudomonadota; Gammaproteobacteria; Enterobacterales; Enterobacteriaceae. The record is from RNAcentral.